GAGUUUGAUUCUGGCUCAGGAUGAACGCUGGCGGCGUGCUUAACACAUGCAAGUCGAACGGACGAAUCUUAUCGGAGUUUUUCGGAACAAAGAAAAGAUAAGUUAGUGGCGGACGGGUGCGUAACGUGUGGGUAAUCUGCCUUUGUCAUGGGAAUAACUGCUUGAAAGAGCAGCUAAUACCGAAUAACAUAUGCAAUAGGCAUCUAUUGGAUAUCAAAGAGAAAUCGGACAAAGAUGAGCCCGCAUCUGAUUAGCUAGUUGGUAGGGUAACAGCCUACCAAGGCAACGAUCAGUAGCCGACCUGAGAGGGUGAACGGCCACAUUGGAACUGAGACACGGUCCAAACUCCUACGGGAGGCAGCAGUGGGGAAUAUUGCACAAUGGGGGGAACCCUGAUGCAGCAACGCCGCGUGAGUGAAGAAGGCUUUCGA
This 431-nucleotide ribosomal RNA is filed under the name Filifactor sp. canine oral taxon 064. RNAcentral's name for it is "bacterial SSU rRNA". It matches the Rfam family "Bacterial small subunit ribosomal RNA", at positions 9 to 421 of the family's 1533-position model. The record is from RNAcentral. Lineage: Bacteria; Bacillati; Bacillota; Clostridia; Peptostreptococcales; Filifactoraceae.